GACUCUCGGCAACGGAUAUCUCGGCUCUCGCAUCGAUGAAGAACGUAGCAAAAUGCGAUACUUGGUGUGAAUUGCAGAAUCCCGUAAACCAUCGAGUCUUUGAAUGCAAGUUGCGCCCCAAGCCAUUAGGCCGAGGGCACGUCUGCCUGGGUGUCA
This 156-nucleotide ribosomal RNA is filed under the name Gossypium hirsutum (cotton). RNAcentral's name for it is "5.8S ribosomal RNA". It matches the Rfam family "5.8S ribosomal RNA". Rfam says of the family: 5.8S ribosomal RNA (5.8S rRNA) is a component of the large subunit of the eukaryotic ribosome. It is transcribed by RNA polymerase I as part of the 45S precursor that also contains 18S and 28S rRNA. Lineage: Eukaryota; Viridiplantae; Streptophyta; Magnoliopsida; Malvales; Malvaceae. The record is from Rfam by way of RNAcentral.